AGAAUGUUCACACACACAAUCUCCAGUCAGC
Molecule: non-coding RNA, 31 nt
Filed under: Rattus norvegicus (Norway rat)
Lineage: Eukaryota; Metazoa; Chordata; Mammalia; Rodentia; Muridae
Source: RNAcentral